This 430-nucleotide long non-coding RNA is filed under the name Serinus canaria (Common canary). RNAcentral's name for it is "lncRNA (ENSSCAG00000012826.1)". The record is from RNAcentral. Lineage: Eukaryota; Metazoa; Chordata; Aves; Passeriformes; Fringillidae.
GGGUAGAGGAGGGAUGAGGGAGCUGCGCUCCUUGAGGGAAGCGUCGCCAUAAUACCCACCGGGGCUGGAGUGGUCUUCCAGCAUGGGGAGCCGCCAGCACCCCGAUCCUGUGGGACACGGGCUGUGCCGGGCCCUGGUUGAGCGUCCCCGAAAGAAGCAGAGGCCGCCCCUCCCUCACCAAGGGGAGCUUUUCUAGGAACAGGGUUUCCCCUAAAACCGUGCAGUGCUUGGUAGGACAUCAAACACCACGGCUGGUCCUGUGUCUGUCCACACAGAGGGGCUGACAUGCAACUGUUCAGGUGACCAGUUUAUUCCUCCUUUCUGAAACACUGCAAGGAGAGUACACCCAAGAGGCUUCCCUCUAUCAUCAAGGUAAGAGAAUAUUAUCUUCCUAAUGAGUAAUUUUCCAACUGUUUGUACCCUAGAUAAG